AAAAGCUAUGAUCUUUCACUUCCCGGUAACUCAUUCCCAAGAUUAAGAUCACCGAGGACUGAAUCAAAAUCGCAGUUAUAAGCGAAAAAUUUGGGAGUGAUUUGAGGGACAUUUGCUGUUUUCAAAAACCCAUCAAAUUCUAAUUUCAAAUCAAACCCAUCACACUAAUCUUUCCCCAGAGCAAAAUCACCAACAUGAUCGAAAUAAAAUUAAACAACUGAAAUUUGGAUUUCAUCAUCACCUACAACGUUUUAUAUCUUCGUAGAACAGGCGAGGAAUCCCGCAAUACUCCAUAGUCCAUAUGAAGUUAAAAUUACUAUUCCAGUGGAAUGCUACGAGCCCAUUGAUUUGACUUCAUUCUUAUAAAACUGUGUGAUAAUAGGAAAGAUAGUGAAGCUGAUGCUAUAAGACGAUGGGUGUUGUCUGGCUAGGUUCCUGCAUGUAUGGAUUUCAACCUUUUCUCUUUAGCUGAGUUCUUAAAAUGUGUUUUGAUGUUCAAGAAUAAGCGUGAAAAAAAUGCAUGCCAAAAGAAAAUAGUAAAUCUUAACAUGAAGAAUAUCAGUGAUCAACUCAACAGUAAGGCUGCAGACAAGUUAGUGAUGGCAGCGGACCGGACGGUAACUGUGGAUAUGGUCAAUAUUAUGGCGAAUAUAAUUGCUUGACUGUACACUAUGCUAUGCAGAAGAACAUACUUUUCUCUUACAAAGGGGGACGAGUCUUCCUUGACGGUUUCUUUACGAGGGCAGAAAAUUAUAGUUUCUUUGAUGAAUUUAGGGGUCAUAAAUGAUAAGGCUGUUUGUGGAAAUUUACACCGUACGACACUUACAGCGAAAUAAGCAAGUAUAUGUACUUUUAGUAGAACAGACACUCCAGAGUUUCAUUGAAAUAAAUGGAGUGUAAAUCAUGGCUUCUGUAGGUAAUUUUCCAAUUUCUUUCUUUGUACUACAAUUUGCUGUUAAUUAUCUUGCUUCUAUAUUGCAUCUA
Molecule: long non-coding RNA, 984 nt
Organism: Papaver somniferum (opium poppy)
Lineage: Eukaryota; Viridiplantae; Streptophyta; Magnoliopsida; Ranunculales; Papaveraceae
Exons: 3
Source: RefSeq, a predicted model, not a curated record